GUCUUUAGCAGUGGGAGGAAACCGGAGGACCCAGAGAAAACCCACAAGGCGACCCUACUCCUUGUCACGUACAACCGGGGAAUCGAAACCCCGCCAGUUGACUCAAUGACAGACCGUAUGAAACAGCGCGCGCGUGCUAACCAUUCGGCCAUCCAACCCCGCCUCAGUUGAUUGGAAUCUAUAAACAUUGAUAACUUAUUU
Molecule: long non-coding RNA, 201 nt
Organism: Patella vulgata (common limpet)
Lineage: Eukaryota; Metazoa; Mollusca; Gastropoda; Patellidae
Exons: 2
Source: RefSeq, a predicted model, not a curated record